RNAcentral lists this small RNA (27 nucleotides) under Bombyx mori (domestic silkworm). Its description in RNAcentral is "piRNA piR-bmo-1861210". The record is from RNAcentral. Lineage: Eukaryota; Metazoa; Arthropoda; Insecta; Lepidoptera; Bombycidae.
UGGAACUCCAAAUUUCUUUACCUCAGU